CAGAAAUUAGGAAAUUACAAGAAUAACAUUAAAAAUACCAGCAAAAGCAUAUUCAAGAAUAGGAUAACUGAAGAUGGGAGAAUAGACAGAGUAUGGAACAGGUAACAGCAAAAAAGAACGAACUGGAACUUUAUUGACUUGAAGAACCAAAAUAAAGACCCAAAUGCACAACUGAAGAAUCAUAAGACAUAAGCAGAUAAAACAUCAAGAAAUAUAAUGAUGAAAACCCAAAGGAACAAAACUUAAAUGCAGUAGAGCAAUAAAUCAAAGCUCAAGAGUCUAUGUAAAUAAAUCUUUGAUUUUCU
Molecule: long non-coding RNA, 305 nt
Filed under: Capra hircus (goat)
Lineage: Eukaryota; Metazoa; Chordata; Mammalia; Artiodactyla; Bovidae
Description: lncRNA (ENSCHIG00000007487.1)
Source: RNAcentral